AUCUAUGGUCAUGAACCCUGAACAAGCCGGAUCCUGUCUGAUCUCGGAAGCUAAGCAGGGUCGGGCCUGGUUAGUACUUGGAUGGGAGACCACCUAGGAAGACCAGGUGCUGUAGACA
RNAcentral lists this ribosomal RNA (118 nucleotides) under Pteropus alecto (black flying fox). The record is from RNAcentral. Lineage: Eukaryota; Metazoa; Chordata; Mammalia; Chiroptera; Pteropodidae.